This 497-nucleotide ribosomal RNA is filed under the name uncultured bacterium. RNAcentral's name for it is "partial 16S ribosomal RNA". It matches the Rfam family "Bacterial small subunit ribosomal RNA", at positions 28 to 507 of the family's 1533-position model. The record is from RNAcentral.
GAUGAACGCUGGCGGCGUGCCUAAUACAUGCAAGUCGAGCGAACAGACGAGGAGCUUGCUCCUCUGACGUUAGCGGCGGACGGGUGAGUAACACGUGGAUAACCUACCUAUAAGACUGGGAUAACUUCGGGAAACCGGAACUAAUACCGGAUAAUAUAUUGAACCGCAUGGUUCAAUAGUGAAAGACGGUUUUGCUGUCACUUAUAGAUGGAUCCGCGCCGCAUUAGCUAGUUGGUAAGGUAACGGCUUACCAAGGCAACGAUGCGUAGCCGACCUGAGAGGGUGAUCGGCCACACUGGAACUGAGACACGGUCCAGACUCCUACGGGAGGCAGCAGUAGGGAAUCUUCCGCAAUGGGCGAAAGCCUGACGGAGCAACGCCGCGUGAGUGAUGAAGGUCUUCGGAUCGUAAAACUCUGUUAUUAGGGAAGAACAAAUGUGGAAGUAACUAUGCACGUCUUGACGGUACCUAAUCAGAAAGCCACGGCUAACUACGUG